GGGCCAUUAGCUCAGUUGGCUAGAGCACUCCUCUGAUAAGGGAGAGGUCUCUGGUUCAAGUCCAGAAUGGCCCACCA
This 77-nucleotide transfer RNA is filed under the name Anaerolineae bacterium. RNAcentral's name for it is "tRNA-Ile". It matches the Rfam family "tRNA". Rfam says of the family: Transfer RNA (tRNA) molecules are approximately 80 nucleotides in length. The record is from RNAcentral. Lineage: Bacteria; Bacillati; Chloroflexota; Anaerolineae.